AGCGGAGGAAAAGAAACUAACAAGGAUUCCCCUAGUAACGGCGAGUGAAGCGGGAACAGCUCAAAUUUUAANUCUGGCUGCUUCGCAGUCCGAGUUGUAAUUUGAAGGCGUCUGUCGCAUGUGAGACGAUGGCACAAGUCCUCUGGAACGUGGCAUCGUAGAGGGUGAGAAUCCCGUCUCUGGUCGUUGUCUUGCAGGCACACGGCAGGCGAUCCGAAGAGUCGAGUUGUUUGGGAUUGCAGCUCCAAAUGGGUGGUAAACUCCAUCUAAGGCUAAAUAUUGGCGAGAGACCGAUAGCGAACAAGUACCGUGAGGGAAAGAUGAAAAGAACUUUGAAAAGAGAGUAAAACAGUACGUGAAAUUGUUGAAAGGGAAACGCUUGAAGUCAGUCGUGCCGGCGGGGAUUCAGCGAACUUCGCGGAGUGAGCGUAUUUCCUCGCAUGGCAGGUCAGCGUCAGUUUUGCGCGUCGUGAAAGGGCUCGGGUAAGGUGACUCUCUUCGGGGAGUGUUAUAGGCCUGAGCAGAUGCGAUGCGCGGGACUGAGGAUUGCAGCGGACACCCUUCGGGGCGCGGCGACCGAUCCCUGCUCUGUCACCUUCGUCCGAUAGCGUGCUAACGGUCGGGGGAGCGGCGGUUGCACCGGGUUGGCAAGCCGGCGGCUNCGCUAAGGAUGCUGGCGUAAUGGCUUUAAACGACC
This 697-nucleotide ribosomal RNA is filed under the name Glomeromycotina sp. OTU25 DJMC-2012. RNAcentral describes it as "eukaryotic LSU rRNA". It matches the Rfam family "Eukaryotic large subunit ribosomal RNA", at positions 49 to 649 of the family's 3401-position model. The record is from RNAcentral. Lineage: Eukaryota; Fungi; Glomeromycota.